GACGAACGCUGGCGGCGUGCUUAACACAUGCAAGUCGAACGGAAAGGCCUUUUCGGCGGUACUCGAGUGGCGAACGGGUGAGUAACACGUGGGUGAUCUGCCCUGCACUCUGGGAUAAGCCUGGGAAACUGGGUCUAAUACCGGAUAGGACCGCACUUUAGUGUGUGUGGUGGAAAGUUUUUUCGGUGUAGGAUGAGCCCGCGGCCUAUCAGCUUGUUGGUGGGGUAAUGGCCUACCAAGGCGGCGACGGGUAGCCGGACUGAGAGGUUGGUCGGCCACAUUGGGACUGAGAUACGGCCCAGACUCCUACGGGAGGCAGCAGUGGGAAAUAUUGCACAAUGGGCGCAAGCCUGAUGCAGCGACGCCGCGUGGGGGAUGACGGCCUUCGGGUUGUAAACUCCUUUCGCCAGGGACGAAGCGUUUUGUGACGGUACCUGGAGAAGAAGCACCGGCUAACUACGUG
Molecule: ribosomal RNA, 463 nt
Filed under: uncultured bacterium
Lineage: Bacteria
Description: partial 16S ribosomal RNA
Rfam family: Bacterial small subunit ribosomal RNA
Source: RNAcentral